GAUGAACGCUGGCGGCGUGCCUAACACAUGCAAGUCGAACGAAGCACUUUAUUUGAUUUCCUUCGGGACUGAUUAUUUUGUGACUGAGUGGCGGACGGGUGAGUAACGCGUGGGUAACCUGCCUUGUACAGGGGGAUAACAGUUGGAAACGGCUGCUAAUACCGCAUAAGCGCACAGCAUCGCAUGAUGCAGUGUGAAAAACUCCGGUGGUAUAAGAUGGACCCGCGUUGGAUUAGCUAGUUGGUGAGGUAACGGCCCACCAAGGCGACGAUCCAUAGCCGACCUGAGAGGGUGACCGGCCACAUUGGGACUGAGACACGGCCCAAACUCCUACGGGAGGCAGCAGUGGGGAAUAUUGCACAAUGGGCGAAAGCCUGAUGCAGCGACGCCGCGUGAGCGAAGAAGUAUUUCGGUAUGUAAAGCUCUAUCAGCAGGGAAGAUAAUGACGGUACCUGACUAAGAAGCACCGGCUAAAUACGUG
This 481-nucleotide ribosomal RNA is filed under the name uncultured bacterium. RNAcentral's name for it is "partial 16S ribosomal RNA". It matches the Rfam family "Bacterial small subunit ribosomal RNA", at positions 28 to 507 of the family's 1533-position model. The record is from RNAcentral.